RNA transcript from Betta splendens (Siamese fighting fish), 6471 nucleotides. It is a transcript of the gene named intraflagellar transport 172, with no coding region annotated. NCBI's taxonomy places the organism in Eukaryota, Metazoa, Chordata, Actinopteri, Anabantiformes, Osphronemidae. The transcript has 49 exons. The record is from RefSeq and is a predicted model, not a curated record.
UAACUAAGGAGAUCUCGAAUAUGUUUACUACAAAGAUGUCGUCUCAGCUAACAGUUAGCUGCUAGCUGCUAGCGGCUCGUUGAUAUGACUUAAACCUACACAUUCCUCUGUGACGCAACUAAGGUCUUAUUCUUUCCACACACAGCGAAAAUGCAGCUGAAGCAUCUGAAGACGCUGCUGACGCCUCAGGAGGGAGCCGCCAAGGUGACGUGCAUGGCCUGGGCCCCGAACAACACCAGGUUCGCUGUUUGCACGGUGGACCGGGUGGUGCUGCUCUACGAUGAACAGGGGGAGAGGAGGGACAAGUUCUCCACGAAGCCCCUGGAGUCCAAGUAUGGAAAACAGAGCUACGUUGUGAAUGACAUGGUUUUCUCGCCUGAUUCCACCAAAAUCGCAAUCGGCCAGUCAGACAACAUCAUCUUCGUCUACAGGAUCGGAGAGGACUGGGGAGACAAAAAGGCCAUCUGCAACAAGUUUGUUCAGACAGCGUCUGUGACCUGCCUGGUUUGGCCUGCAGAGCACGCCAUCGUUUACGGAUUAGUUGAUGGCAAGGUUCGUCUUGCCAACACUCAGACAAACAAGUCCUCGACCAUCUACGGCACCGACUCCUGUGUUGUUUCGCUGGCAUCCAAUGUCUCCAGUAAAGGCGUCCUGUCCGGCCACGCUGAUGGGACGGUCGUUCGUUACUUCUUUGAUGAUGAAGGCUCGGGGGAAACUCAGGGUAAGCUGCUGAUGCACCCGUGUCCACCCUACGCCCUGGCUUGGGGCACAAACAGCAUUAUGGUGGGUGGCUGUGACAAGAAGGUGGUGGCGUACAGCAGGGAGGGCCGGGUCCUGCAGACCUUCGACUACAGCCGCGACCGAACAGAGCGGGAGUUCACUGUAGCCGCCAUCAGCCCCAGUGGGCAGUCUGCUGUGUUCGGCAGCUAUGACCGGUUGCGGGUGUUUAACUGGGCUCCUAGAAGAGGUGUGUGGGACGAAGCCAAGCCUAAAGAGAUUCUUAACCUCUACACCAUCACCAGCUUAGCCUGGAAGAAAGACGGAUCCCGCCUCUGUGCUGGAACUCUGUGUGGAGGAGUGGAGCUGUUUGACUGCUGCCUGCGAAGGGUCAUUUAUAAGAACAAAUUUGAGAUGACCUACGUUGGGCUGAGCCAGGUGAUAGUCAGGAACCUCUCUACAGGGACUCGAGUGGUCCUGAAGUCCUACUACAAUUAUGAGAUUGAAGACGUUAAGAUCAUGGGGAAGGAUCGCUUCUUGGUGGCUCACACCUCUGAUACCCUGCUGUUGGGAGACCUGAUGACAAAUAAACUGAGUGAGGUGCCGUGGCCCGGUUCUGGGGGGAAUGAAAAGUUCUUUUUUGAAAAUGAAACCGUGUGUAUGAUUUUUAAUGCUGGAGAGCUGAGCCUGGUGGAGUACAGUAACAACGAGAUCCUAGGAUCAGUCAGAACAGAAUUUAUGAACCCUCAUCUUAUCAGUGUGCGUCUAAACGAGAGGAAGCAGAGAGGAGCUGAAGACAACAAGAAGCUUGCCUACCUGAUUGACAUGAAGACCAUCGCUGUGGUGGACUUGGCUGCAGGCUACAAUCUGGGAACCAUCAGCCACGACUCCAAGAUUGACUGGCUGGAGCUCAACGAAACCGGACGCAAACUGCUGUUCAGGGACAAGAAGCUGCGGCUCCACCUGUACGACAUAGAGGCCACGGUGAAGAGCACCCUGCUGAGCUUCUGCUCCUACGUGCAGUGGGUGCCUGGCAGCGACGUGGUGGUUGCCCAGAACCGGGGGAACCUCUGCAUCUGGUACAGCAUCGACAGUCCAGAGAGCAUCACCAUGUUCCCCAUCAAGGGAGACAUUGUGGAUCUAGAGAGAGCUGAUGGAAAGACCGAGGUGAUCGUGACAGAAGGAGUGAACACGGUGACGUACACGCUGGACGAAGGCCUCAUCGAGUUCGGUACUGCUGUUGACGAUGGAGACUACGACCGAGCCACAGCUUUCCUUGAGACUCUGGAGAUGUCGCCAGAGACUGAAGCCAUGUGGAAGACGCUCAGCAAGCUGGCUCUGGAGGCACACCAGCUGCACAUUGCAGAAAGGUGUUUUGCUGCUCUGGGCGAUGUCUCCACUGUGCGUUUCCUCCAUCAGACGAACCAGGUUGCAGACAAAGUUUCCCAGGAAGUGGGAGGAGAUGGCUCAGCGUUUUACCAAGUCCAAGCCCGUGUGGCCAUGCUGGAUAAAAACUUCAAACUGGCUGAGAUGCACUACGCUGAGCAGAAUGCGAUCGAUGAAGCGAUAGAAAUGUACCAAGAACUGCACAUGUGGGACAGCUGCAUUGCUGUGGCUGAAGCCAAGGGCCACCCAGAGCUGGACACCCUCCGUGGGAACUACUACCACUGGCUGACGGACACGGGUCAGGAUGAGAAGGCCGGCGAGGUGAAGGAGAGCGAGGGCGACUUCCAGAGCGCCAUCAGCCUUUACCUGAAGGCCGGGCUCCCGGCCAAAGCCGCGCGCCUCGCCAUCAGCCGGCCGGAGGUCAGCAGCAACAGUGACACCGUCAGCCGCAUCGCUGCCAGUCUCAUUACGGGAGAGUUCUAUGAGAGGGCAGGAGAUCUGUAUGAGAAGAUCCGAAACAACCAGAGAGCUCUGGAGUGCUACUGCAAAGGAGGCGCCUUCAGGAAAGCCGUGGAGCUGGCUCGUCUCGCCUUCCCUGCCGAGGUAGUGAAACUGGAGGAGGCAUGGGGGGACUACCUCGUCCAGCAGAAACAGAUGGACGCCGCCAUCAACCACUUCAUUGAAGCAGGCUGCUCUCUUAAAGCCAUCGAGGCGGCCAUCGCAGCUCGUCAGUGGAAGAAAGCCGUCCACAUCCUGGAGCUGCAGGAGGAUUCAUCAGCAGGGAAAUACUAUGUGAAGAUAGCUCAGUACUACGCCUCCAUGCAGGACUACGAGGUGGCGGAGCAGCUGUUUGUGAAAGGAGGCCACAUUAAGGAUGCCAUAGACAUGUACACGGCAGCAGGACGCUGGGAGGAGGCUCAUAAGCUGGCAGGGAGGUGUAUGACGGAGGAGGAAGUCACGGCUCUGUACCUCAGCAGAGCUCAGGAGCUGGAGAGAGACGGCAAGUUCAAAGAGGCUGAGAGGCUGUUUGCCACCGUGAAGCAGCCUGACCUCGCCAUCACCAUGUACAAGAAGAACCGCAUGUUUGAUGAUGUUAUCCGCCUGGUGGCCAAACACCACCCUGACCUGCUGACCGAGACGCACCACCACCUGGGCAAGGAGCUGCAGGCCGAGUCCAGGUUCUCAGAGGCCGAGUAUCACUUCAUGGAGGCUAAGGACUUGAAGGCUGCUGUUCAGAUGUACAGCAUCAAUGACAUGUGGGAGGAUGCACACAGGGUGGCGAAGGCGCACGGAGGUGGGGGGGUGCAGCAGCAGGUGGCCUACCUGUGGGCCAGGAGUCUGGGAGGAGAGGCUGCUGUCAAGCUUCUCAACAAGUUCAGCCUCCUGGAAUAUGCCAUCGAGUUUGCUUCAGACAACCUCUCUUUCGACUUUGCCUUUGACUUGGCUCGUCUCGCAUGCAAAGACAAGAUACCUGACAUCCAUCUGAAAUACGCCAUCUACCUGGAAGAUGAGGGGAAGUUUCCUGAGGCAGAGGUCGAGUUCAUCAAAGCAGGGAAACCCAAAGAAGCUGUUUUCAUGUACGUCCACAACAAGGACUGGGCCAGCGCUCAGCGGGUGGCAGAGGGCUACGAUCCAGAGAGCGUGUCUGAGGUUCUGGUCAACCAAGCCAAGUUCUGCUUUGAACAGAAAGACUUCCAGAAGGCUGAAGCCUUCCUGCUCCGAGCCCAGAGGCCCGAACUGGCCGUUAAAUAUUACAAGGACGGCGACAUGUGGAGCGACGCCAUGCGUAUCUGUAAGGAGUACCUGCCCAACAAGCUCUCCCUGCUUCAGGAGGAGUACGAGAAGGAGACGUCCAAGAAGGGAAACCGCGUGGAGGGUCUGCUGGAACAGGCCCGGGAGUGGGAGCAGUCGGGGGAAUAUUCCCGAGCUGUGGAGUGUUACCUGAAGGUGAAGGACGACUCCAACGCGGCCCUGAUGGAGAAGUGCUGGAUGAAGGCAGCAGAGUUGUCCAUCAAGUUCCUGAGUGGAGACCGAGCCGUGGAGGUGGUCCAGGUGGUGGGGCCACGCCUCUCUCACCUGAGGAAGUACAGCGCUGCUGCUGAGCUCUACCUGAACCUGGACCUGAUCAAAGACGCAAUCGACGUGUUCAUAGAGGGCGAGGAGUGGAACAAAGCCAAGAGAGUGGCCAAGGAGCUGGAGCCGAGGUAUGAGGCCUACGUGGACCAGAAGUACAAAGAGCAUCUGAAGAAUCAGGGCAAAGUGGAUUCUCUGGUGGGUGUGGACGUGAUGGCAGCGCUGGACAUUUACGCAGAGAGAGGCCAGUGGGACAAAUGUCUGGAAACAGCCUCCAAACAGAACUUUAAGAUUCUCCAGAAGUACGUGGCUCUGUACGCCACGCAUCUCAUCAAAGAGGGGGCGGCUGUGAAGGCUCUGCAGCUCUACGUUCAGCACGGGGCUCCUCCCAGCCCUCAGAACUUCAACAUCUACAAGCGGCUGUUCCUGGACGUGAUGAACCUCCCUGACACCGACGGACCCGAGUCCUACCGCAUGUGGGCCGACCUCCGCAGCUUCCUGCUGCAGCUGUGUGAGAACGUGUCCAAGUCGGCCGAGGCCAACUCACCUGCUCAUGGAGACUUUGAACAGAUGCUGCUCGUCGCUCACUACUACGCCACCAGAUCAGCAGCUAAAGGAGUGGAGCAGCUGGCCGUCAUAGCAACCAAGCUGUCGGUGUCUCUGCUGCGUCACACUGAGCUCGUUCCCGUAGACAAGGCUUUCUAUGAGGCGGGUCUGUCCUGCAAGGCCGUUGGCUGGGACAACAUGGCCUUCAUCUUCCUCAAUCACUUCCUGGACCUGUGUGAUGCUGUUGAUGAGGGGACCCUGAACGCUCUGGACCACUCAGACUUCAUAGACACAGACAUUCCCUUUGAGGUUCCCAUUCCCACCAAGCUCUGCGUCACUGACAGUCAGAGAGAGAAAAUCCGUGACUGGGUUCUGAUGGUGUCCAUGGACCAGCGGCUGGAGCAGGUUCUACCACGAGACGAGAGGAACUCGUACGAAGCCUCGCUGGUGGCCACCAACACCGGGCUGCGCUCGCUGCCCUGCGUCCUCACCGGUUACCCAGUGCUGAGGAGUAAGAUCGAGUUUUCCUCCGUGGGAAAGGUUGCCAACAAGGAAGACUGGAACAAAUUCCUCAUGGCCACAAAGACGAGUCACAGUCCGGAGUGUCAGGACGUCCUGAAGUUCCUGAGCCAGUGGUGCGGUGGUCCAGCAUCUGGAUUCUCCUUCUACUGACGUCAGAUGAUUUUAUUUUUCACUCUAACAUCUGAAAAGAGAAUCUAAGACCAAGCAUUUUAAUGAAUAACUUUAGGUGCUGAGGUGCGUUUGGUCACAGCAGCUGUUUGUUUCUGUUUUUAUGCUGAGCAGCUGCUGCUCAUUGCUUGAUGUUUACUAUGCAGAUUUAAAGUUUAUAUGUUGGCUUAAAAAUAUAAAACAUUUUAAAUGUUCUGUACAAAUCAGGGUAAAAUGUUUGAAAUUAUAAAAAAUACUAAAAAAACAACAAUUUAGACUAAAAAUAACUAACAAAGACACAAAUGAAGAGAUGUCUGUGGGCAGAGAAAAAUGAAUUAAGAUCAAAUAAAUUAACUUGAAAUCUCAUGAAUUUUAUAUAUUGAACCACAGCAGCCUCUGAAUGUUUACCUUUAUAAACACCUAAAUAACCAGAAGCACAAAUCUAAAAUUAAAUCUAAAUAUGUGCUACACAGAGUCAACAGGACAUUUAUUAUUCAGAGCUUCUGAAGCCUGUAUUUGAACCCGCCUGCUGAAUCGGACCCAGAGCAGCCGUGUGUGCCUCCAGCUCAGCCUCCAGCUCCGGCUCUGACCCGAUGGCACCGUCGGUCUGACUUCAUUCUGCUGGUUGGUUUUGGACGCUGGCCGUUUUCCUGACUCACGCUCCCGCGCUGAUCCUGAACCCACACUCUGAAACCGGUGCUUGAGCGUGAUGGAUUUGAAGCGGAGAGGUUUAAACAUCAAAGUCUUCCAAAGGAGGAAGCGAAGGGUCCGCGUGAGGGACGCUUCGCCUGCAGCAGGAAUCCAGGCUCACACGGACUCAGAUCGACCUAAAUUUCAACGUUUUCAUGGUUGGAAUCAGAGUCCGUCUCCAUUUGAAGCACAGCUCCAUGCAUUUUAAGCAUGUGGCUGAAUCUGAACUCAUUAUUAAGAAAACUCACUGGCAGCUCAUCACAUAACAGCCUCCGCCGAGCUGCAGAGGAUCCGUCACCUCCGUGCGUUACUGGACUUUAUGAAUAGAUUUAUUAUGAACUUAUGUUCUUACUAAUGGCACCGUGUUAAAUAAAACCAAAUAAACCCAGA